UUCAUUUUCAUCGACUGGGUUGGGUAGCAGGCAACCGGAGCUGCCACUGUACUCCGUCCUCAAGCCGUCGGCCCCGUUGCUAAGAGGUUCCCCUCUCCCCUCCCCUUAGCAAACUCUUAUUGUGAAUGAAAUCGGAAAAUAAUGCUAUGAUGAAAUCUGAUCAUUGUGCUGUGAUAAGUAGGACAUAUAGCGAUAAAUUCUGAAAUUCCAAAACAUGCUAUGUAAAUUAAUUUCAUUAACAAAUGUUUAUUUUUGCUGGGCAUUUAGAGAAGUUUUAAUACCAGUUAUUUGGGUCCCAUUUUUAAGUGAUUGAAUACUGGAAUGCAUAAAAUGUGGUUUGGGUAGAAUUAACCGUAAAAAUUCACUAGUCAGCAAGCCCUCAUUUGGAAUGCAGGAAAUUUUCUCUUUUCAUGCAAGAGCGAGCUAUAUGUUAAUUAGACUAGUGCUGUGAGUUCAGUGUGCAGAAAUUUACAUGCAGAAAUGAGGCCUAAACCUCAUUUGACUAGAGAUAUUGGGAUUGUGCUUGUCAUCUGUUAUUUUUCCUUAGAAUCAACAUUCUUAGACUUGCUGAUAUACCUAUGCAGUUUUACUAGAUUUGGCUAUACGAGGCGAAUUGAUAAGCGUCACUAAUUAUAGAUUGGAAUUAUUAUUACUAGAUGUAGUUGGUUCAUUUUUAAUUUACAUCUUCUGUACUGAAUGGUGUACAAGUGAGUUGAUUUGAGAGUAUUAUGAAUAGUUAUAGCUGUUCAAGCUAAUUGAUCAAAAGCACUAACAAUAGGAUAUUUGAAUGGUCCAAGACUUGUUCUUUUCUUAUGUACAAACCAUUUAUAGUCACUGCCUCACUGGCCUUGCUAACUUUUGUCUAUCUUUUUUUAACAGAUCAUGGCUCUUAUCUAAAAUGCUGCCAUAAAUCUCUAUGGAUGAAACCUUUGGUUCAUGAUUUCAAGGUACCUCAUUGAAUUGAUGAUAUGCUGCCUAGCAGUUACACUAUGAAAUUUGUCAUUUUAGCAUAUGUAUGGAUAUACCAUGUCAGCUUUUGGUCCUUGCUCUAUUUUUAUAGAACACUUUUGAAAGAAACCACAUGUGAAGAAAACAAACUAGUGUCUCAUUGUCAUUUAGUUUGUUAUAGAUGAAGAAAACUCUACCAAUUUAUUCUGCCAAUUGGACUGCAUUUUAAGAUCCUUCCUUGCCCAUGAUAAACUAUUGAAGUAGAAUAGUUCUUAAGUUGUUGUCGGAAGACACUUUUCUUGUAGUUGUACACCCCUAAUUUAAUUAAUGCUAAUUGCUGAAGAACAGGGACAGAACCCCUAAUUUAUUAUUGUUGAAGAACUUACAUGGAACCCCUAAUCUGAACAUGGACAAGAACAUGGACAGGGCACCUUUCUUAUGCUAUUUUUGCCUUGCCAUUCAUGGUAAGGAUUGUGUCGAUAAUGAGUGCUAUAGUGUUUUCUUUCUCUGUUGCAGAUGUGUUGGCCUUAAUUUCUCUGUUUCAGUAACUAAGAGAAUCUGCAGUUGCCUCAUCUACAUGAUUAUUUUCUUGCUUUGUUAAACUAUUAUAUUUGUUUUGCUAUAGCCUGGGUAUUCACAAUCAUUAAUUGUUAGUAUUUACAUGCAGAAAUGAGGCUUAUAUCAUUAUAAAAUUUUAAAUAUAUAAGAGCCCUCCUUUUUUUAGGGGUAUAAAUACUUUUUUUAGAUCAUAUAGGUCUAGUAAAUUUUAACAAAAUGCCUCUUUGCGAAUAUGACAAAAAUGGUGUCAAUUCUGUAUAGGUUAGAAUAUAUGUGCCUCUUAUGUUAGGAUUUUUGCAGUUCUGAUUCAUGGGAAGUGUGGUCCAUAUUGGACAGUUUAUAUAGUACAUUAUUCUAGUGUACAACUCAAACUCAAGUGCUGAACCUUUGCUCAAAACUGCUUUAAACUGAAAAUCAUCCUUAAAACCAUAUAGGGGUCAUUAUUCCAAUUAGAUAACAAAAGGAGCAUUUUUAAAGAGGUAAUACUAGCAGUGAUUAGCAAAUUUAUACCAUUUGAAGUUUCCCUUCAAUACCAGGUGCCAUUUGAAGUUUCCCUUUAAUUCCUGUUUUUUGCAAAUGUAUAUUUCUCUCACUCUCUCUCUAUCUCUCUCAGUCAGUCACAUAAAUUCCAAGAAUCAUGAUUCUGGAAGGGAGAAAACUUGUGCACCCAGUGUUGGACAUGGAAACAAGAUUAACAAGGUGAUGCCUUGCUUUAUUAUUUCAACUUAAUUUCUCUCUCAAGUUAACUUUGUAUUGCCUUUGUUUGAAAGUGAAUUCAUGGUACACUUGCUUAACUUCAAAUGAAAACAUUUGGAGAUGGAAUUGAUGUAUGAUAACUUGAAUGUGUGGAGAUGGAUUGCAUUUAUGUGUGUAUGUUUGGAGAUUUUUGGAUUUGGGGUCAUGUGAAUCUGUGAAUUGAUGUUUGGAGAUGGAUUACAUUUAUGUGAAUUGAUGUGGGUUUUUGUGUGUAUGGUGGAUUGAUGUGAAU
This 2494-nucleotide long non-coding RNA is filed under the name Oryza sativa (Asian cultivated rice). RNAcentral describes it as "long non-coding RNA (OSAT_LNC000128)". The record is from RNAcentral. Lineage: Eukaryota; Viridiplantae; Streptophyta; Magnoliopsida; Poales; Poaceae.